This 573-nucleotide ribosomal RNA is filed under the name uncultured bacterium. Its description in RNAcentral is "bacterial SSU rRNA". It matches the Rfam family "Bacterial small subunit ribosomal RNA", at positions 57 to 615 of the family's 1533-position model. The record is from RNAcentral.
GCAGUCGAGCGGCAGCGCGGGACUCGGGCACCGAGUCCUGGCGGCGAGCGGCGAACGGGUGAGUAAUGCAUCGGAACGUGUCCCGUAAUGGGGGAUAACGCCGCGAAAGCGGCGCUAAUACCGCAUACGCUCUGAGGAGGAAAGUGGGGGACCUGCAAGGGCCUCACGUUAGGGGAGCGGCCGAUGUCCGAUUAGCUAGUUGGUGGGGUAAUGGCUUACCAAGGCUUCGAUCGGUAGCUGGUCUGAGAGGAUGAUCAGCCACACUGGGACUGAGACACGGCCCAGACUCCUACGGGAGGCAGCAGUGGGGAAUUUUGGACAAUGGGGGCAACCCUGAUCCAGCCAUGCCGCGUGCGGGAAGAAGGCCUUCGGGUUGUAAACCGCUUUUAGCCGGGAAGAAAAGGCCAUCCCUAACAGGGGUGGUUUUUGGCGGUACCGGCGGAAUAAGCACCGGCUAACUACGUGCCAGCAGCCGCGGUAAUACGUAGGGUGCGAGCGUUAAUCGGAAUUACUGGGCGUAAAGCGUGCGCAGGCGGUUCGUUGUGUCGGUGGUGAAAGCCCCGGGCUUAACCU